CCGUACCAAACUUGGCAUAUAAGACAAGAAAUCACUGCAAACGAGGUUAUAAAGUUCCAGACAGGAUGGUUUGUCACAGCAUAAGCUCCAGAGGCUUCGUUUGGCACUUUGCUGCGAGGGCUUGUCUUGGCCUGCUGUUGGACUUUUGGGAGGAUCAGUUUGGAUCUCUGUGCAGAAACAUGCCCCUCAGACGCACCAAGAUCCUGUCAUCAACAAGAAAUCACCUCAUUCUCUUCACCUGGUCCUCAUGCCCUUCCCACCUGCAGCCCAUUCCCUCAUUAGCCCCUCACUAUUUAGGUCCCCACACUUCCGCUUGUCCUCUGCCAGAUUGUCUUGUGGGUAUGCCAAGUUUUCCAGCGGUUUCCAAUUACCAAUAUCCUGACCUAGCCGGCCUGCUUUUGACUACGAACUCUUCGCCCGCCCCCUUUUUUGGAUUUGUCCAAAAAACCCUGCCUAUCCUCGUUUACGGAGCCCCUGCCUGCCCCUCUG
This is a long non-coding RNA of Gasterosteus aculeatus aculeatus (three-spined stickleback), 489 nucleotides long. Lineage: Eukaryota; Metazoa; Chordata; Actinopteri; Perciformes; Gasterosteidae. The record is from Ensembl.